CUUUAACGCUGGCGGCAGGCCUAACACAUGCAAGUCGAACGGUAACAGGAAGAAGCUUGCUUCUUUGCUGACGAGUGGCGGACGGGUGAGUAAUGUCUGGGAAACUGCCUGAUGGAGGGGGAUAACUACUGGAAACGGUAGCUAAUACCGCAUAACGUCGCAAGACCAAAGAGGGGGACCUUCGGGCCUCUUGCCAUCGGAUGUGCCCAGAUGGGAUUAGCUAGUAGGUGGGGUAACGGCUCACCUAGGCGACGAUCCCUAGCUGGUCUGAGAGGAUGACCAGCCACACUGGAACUGAGACACGGUCCAGACUCCUACGGGAGGCAGCAGUGGGGAAUAUUGCACAAUGGGCGCAAGACUGAUGCAGCCAUGCCGCGUGGAUGAAGAAGGCCUUCGGGUUGUAAAGUACUUUCAGCGGGGAGGAAGGGAGUAAAGUUAAUACCUUUGCUCAUUGACGUUACCCGCAGAAGAAGCACCGGCUAACUCCGUG
RNAcentral lists this ribosomal RNA (490 nucleotides) under uncultured bacterium. RNAcentral describes it as "partial 16S ribosomal RNA". It matches the Rfam family "Bacterial small subunit ribosomal RNA", at positions 30 to 507 of the family's 1533-position model. The record is from RNAcentral.